Molecule: long non-coding RNA, 634 nt
Filed under: Sorghum bicolor (sorghum)
Lineage: Eukaryota; Viridiplantae; Streptophyta; Magnoliopsida; Poales; Poaceae
Description: long non-coding RNA (SBIC_LNC014955)
Source: RNAcentral
GAACUGGGUGUCCUUAGUGCCAUUCUAAUAUGGUGGUUGUGCCAAGUGCACUUGCACACUGUCUUCCGAUUCAGCCAACACAUUUUGUGGAGAUUGCAUAUCAUGCAGCUAGCUAUUGAUUUUUAAAACACUUCAGUUUUUUUUUUUGAAACGAACCGGCAGGAGAGCUGCCUGCUGUAUUAAAAAGAAGAGAUCGCCUAGACAGGCACUAUACAACCCCAGCCAACUGGGCUCUAUACACAGCUAAAAGAACCGACGACAAGUAAGCAAAGCAAAGCAACAAAAAGAAGCUCAAAAAACUAGGGUACAGAACGAAGAUGGUGUCGUUGGAUGCAAGAAGAGAGGUGCUUUGCUCCUGCCAAAAUCCACAACCUCGCCUCAUCUUUGAUUUUCUGAAGUACCACAAAAUUGGCGGACUCUCUGUGCUCAAACACUCUCGCAUUUCUCUCCUUCCAGAUCUCCCAGCAAGCUAGUAUAAUGAGUGAACGUCGGCCUUUCCUACUUGUACUCGGCGCAUUUGAUAUCGCCAUCCACCAUUCCUCGGUCGUGUUGCUUGGCGGCCAUGCACUUGGGUGCAGGUAGGAGUUUUGCGCCCAUGUGGAGAUUUCCUUCCACAGGCGCUUCGUGAACCUGC